RNAcentral lists this long non-coding RNA (593 nucleotides) under Helianthus annuus (common sunflower). The record is from RNAcentral. Lineage: Eukaryota; Viridiplantae; Streptophyta; Magnoliopsida; Asterales; Asteraceae.
AUGUAUAAAAAAUUUUUGGUUGGAAAAUAUAUAGUAUUUAAAAACAAAAUCUUGAAAUUAAAUUUGAAAGCUGCAAAUGUAAUCACCCAAAGUGUGUAAUAUUUUAGCAUGCACCCUUCUUUCUUUCUAGGUGUUGUGAUUUUGUUUUUUUGUGGAGUGAAGAUGAGUAUUAUGACCACUUUCACAGAAAAGGUGAUUGCUUUUUGAUGGAGGUCCCUAUAAACACUCAUAGAUACAUACACCACUCCUGAAUGCUUUGAUAGGCGUGCUUUGUUGCAUAAAAAACACACCCUUUUUGCUUCUUUUUUUUCCUUUUCCUGUUGUUGGUUUCAUUACAAGUUAUUAGCCCCACUUGGAUUUUGCAGGCUUAUGUUUCUUUGUUGUUGUGUGUUUUUGGGGCAUCUUCUUCUGUAUCUAUUUCAUAUUUCCGUUGUAUGUUAGAUUCCCCUAUCCCCUUAUAUCAGACAUUUAGACCUCAUGUGAGAAGGGUUCUUUUUGUUUUUGGUCUUCAUGUUGUUUGUUCAUGAUGAAAGUUGUGUGAUUUUUGGUCAAAACAUUGAGUAAAGACUCUGCAAGAUUGGAUCUUUAUGAUG